GUCCGCGUAGCACAGUGGUAGUGCGCUUGACUACGAUUACUAAUCGAAUCAAGAGGUCGUGGUUUCGAGCACCACCGUGGAUU
Molecule: non-coding RNA, 83 nt
Organism: Cryptococcus depauperatus CBS 7841
Lineage: Eukaryota; Fungi; Basidiomycota; Tremellomycetes; Tremellales; Cryptococcaceae
Source: Rfam